Molecule: transfer RNA, 75 nt
Filed under: Coprinellus micaceus
Lineage: Eukaryota; Fungi; Basidiomycota; Agaricomycetes; Agaricales; Psathyrellaceae
Rfam family: tRNA
About the family: Transfer RNA (tRNA) molecules are approximately 80 nucleotides in length. Their secondary structure includes four short double-helical elements and three loops (D, anti-codon, and T loops).
Source: Rfam by way of RNAcentral
GGGCACAUGGUGUAGUUGGUUAUCACGCUCGCUUAGCAAUGCGAGAGGUGUUGGGUUCAAUUCCCAAUGCGUCCA